AGACAUAAUGAUGGCAGGAGCUGGAGCAGCAACCUGAGGACCCAGAGCUCAAAGCCACAUGUUGAGAAGGGCAGAGAUACUGUAUCCACUCUGGACUGCUGACCUUUGAACUAUUAUGUUAUUUCCAGGGAAAUGCAAACCAAAGGACGUGGUCUCUGAUCUAAUCCUUAGAGAAUGUGACCAUGAAGACAGUUUUCCUACCUAGUCAAAAGGGGCAGGAAUUGGAGAGACAUCUACAAAGCUUCCAACACCAUGGCCCUGGGGGUGACCUCCUCGGUACCCUGCCUGCCCCUCCCCAACAUCCUACUCAUGGCCAGUGUCAAAUGGCACCACGGGCAGAACCAGACAUGGAACAGACCAUCCAUAGCCCCCAACAUCUUCCUGAAGAGGAUUCUCCCAUUGAAGUUUGUGGAGCUCCAGGUAUGUGACCACCAUCAACGCAUCCUGCAGUUGAGGACAGUCACUGAGAAGAUUUAUUACCUAAAGCUCCACCCUGACCAUCCUGAGACUGUCUUCCACUUCUGGAUCCGACUGGUUCAAAUUCUGCAAAAGGGGCUGUCCAUCACUACCAAAGACCCUAGGAUUCUUGUCACUCACUGCCUGGUACCCAAGAACUGCUGCAGCCCCUCAGGAGAUUCGAAGUUACUACAGAAGAAACUCCAAGCCUCCCAGCCCAGCGAGAGUCUCAUUCAACUAAUGACCAAGGGGGAGAGUGAAGCCCUGUCUCAGAUUUUUGCCGACUUACACCAGCAGAACCAGUUGAGGUACAUGACUUAAAUCAAGCCAGCCUCUGGCAUUCCUUCCUGCAACCCAGAUGGUCUGGGCUGUGAGAUCCAGAAACCAAAUAUCUUGGUUAAUGAGCACAGGGUUUU
This 872-nucleotide small RNA is filed under the name Pongo abelii (Sumatran orangutan). Its description in RNAcentral is "retained intron". The record is from RNAcentral. Lineage: Eukaryota; Metazoa; Chordata; Mammalia; Primates; Hominidae.